GCUGACGAGUGGCGAACGGGUGAGUAACACAUCGGAACGUGCCCGAUCGUGGGGGAUAACGCAGCGAAAGCUGUGCUAAUACCGCAUACGAUCUACGGAUGAAAGCGGGGGAUCUUAGGACCUCGCGCGGACGGAGCGGCCGAUGGCAGAUUAGGUAGUUGGUGGGGUAAAGGCUUACCAAGCCUACGAUCUGUAGCUGGUCUGAGAGGACGACCAGCCACACUGGGACUGAGACACGGCCCAGACUCCUACGGGAGGCAGCAGUGGGGAAUUUUGGACAAUGGGCGAAAGCCUGAUCCAGCAAUGCCGCGUGCAGGAAGAAGGCCUUCGGGUUGUAAACUGCUUUUGUACGGAACGAAAAAGAUCUCUCUAAUACAGGGGUCUGAUGACGGUACCGUAAGAAUAAGCACCGGCUAACUACGUGCCAGCAGCCGCGGUAAUACGUAGGGUGCGAGCGUUAAUCGGAAUUACUGGGCGUAAAGCGUGCG
This 488-nucleotide ribosomal RNA is filed under the name Pseudacidovorax sp. GN07.Cr.e. RNAcentral describes it as "bacterial SSU rRNA". It matches the Rfam family "Bacterial small subunit ribosomal RNA", at positions 87 to 571 of the family's 1533-position model. The record is from RNAcentral. Lineage: Bacteria; Pseudomonadati; Pseudomonadota; Betaproteobacteria; Burkholderiales; Comamonadaceae.